AGUGAACGCUGGCGGUAGGCCUAACACAUGCAAGUCGAACGGCAGCACAGUAAGAGCUUGCUCUUACGGGUGGCGAGUGGCGGACGGGUGAGGAAUACAUCGGAAUCUACUUUUUCGUGGGGGAUAACGUAGGGAAACUUACGCUAAUACCGCAUACGACCUACGGGUGAAAGCAGGGGAUCUUCGGACCUUGCGCGAUUGAAUGAGCCGAUGUCGGAUUAGCUAGUUGGCGGGGUAAAGGCCCACCAAGGCGACGAUCCGUAGCUGGUCUGGGAGAAUGAUCAGCCACACUGGAACUGAGACACGGUCCAGACUCCUACGGGAGGCAGCAGUGGGGAAUAUUGGACAAUGGGCGCAAGCCUGUUCCAGCCAUGCCGCGUGGGUGAAGAAGGCCUUCGGGUUGUAAAGCCCUUUUGUUGGGAGAGAAAAGCAGCAGGUUAAUACGCAGAUGUACUGACGGUACCCAAAGAAUAAGCACCGGCUAACUUCGUG
RNAcentral lists this ribosomal RNA (492 nucleotides) under uncultured bacterium. RNAcentral describes it as "partial 16S ribosomal RNA". It matches the Rfam family "Bacterial small subunit ribosomal RNA", at positions 29 to 507 of the family's 1533-position model. The record is from RNAcentral.